This 253-nucleotide ribosomal RNA is filed under the name uncultured bacterium. RNAcentral's name for it is "partial 16S ribosomal RNA". It matches the Rfam family "Bacterial small subunit ribosomal RNA", at positions 524 to 776 of the family's 1533-position model. The record is from RNAcentral.
UACAGAGGUCUCAAGCGUUGUUCGGAUUCAUUGGGCGUAAAGGGUGCGUAGGUGGCGCUGUAAGUCGGGUGUGAAAUUUCGGAGCUUAACUCCGAAACUGCAUUCGAUACUGCGGUGCUUGAGGACUGGAGAGGAGACUGGAAUUCAUGGUGUAGCAGUGAAAUGCGUAGAGAUCAUGAGGAAGACCAGUGGCGAAGGCGGGUCUCUGGACAGUUCCUGACACUGAGGCACGAAGGCCAGGGGAGCAAAAGGG